CUCGCAUGGAGUCGCUCGAGUGCUGAGAGCUACCGUAUGGUAUGAUGUAGACAAAGAUGGCGCUCCAGAAGAGUGCUCGCUUAAUAUACGUGAAAACCUAGAUGGAGUCACUGCUACCACAGACACAGGAGGUGGCAUCUAAGACUGUCAUCCCAGUGGGUGGGAGGCAGAGGGAGGAGGAUCCCAAGGUCAAAAUCACCCUCAGCUAAUUAGCAAAUUUGAGGCCAGCCCAAGGCAUUUGAUACCCUGCUUAAAAAAAAAUAAAAAGGCGGUUUAGAAUGUGCAGUUGGCGAUUUGACUGAAAAGGGUCAUUCAGGGAACAUGUGGGACAAGGCAUUAUGUGGGCAUAAGGUUAUUGUGUAGUUCAAAUGCUGAUUUCUGUAACCCUCCCCAUAUAUCUGGUUGCAGUCCUUGUUCUGAGAACCUCCUGUCUCAAUGUUGUGUAAACACUGCUCCCCAGUUGUCCCCUGAUAUGCCAAUAAUAAAGCAGAUUACAGACAGCCACUGUAAGGGAAGAGAAUAGGGCUGGACUUCCUGCCAGCCAGGGUAGGAGGAGGAAAGGAAGAAGUAGGGGAUUCAGAAGAUCCAGCCACGGGCAGUUAUCCAGGAGGGUGAUUCCAGGAGAAAGAGCUCAACAAAGAAACUACAAAGUGCAAGUGUCACUGGGAUGCACACAGGGAGAAAUCCAAAUUGGCUUGGAGGGCUAAGAAUAGAGUAAUAAGGGGCUGGAGAGAUGGCCCAGUGGUUAAGAGCACUGCUCUUUGAGAAGUCCCUGUGAUGGCUCACAACCAUCUAUAAUGUGAUCUGGCGCCCUCUUGUGGCGCUCAUGUGUUCAUGCAGACAGAGCACUCCUAUACAUAAAAUAAAUAAAUGUCUUUAACAACAACAACAAAAAGAACAGAGUAAUGACUGUUCAGUUAUUGUGCUGUGAAUUAUUAAACAGAUAUAAAAGAGUCCCAGUUAUUUGUGUGAUAGCCAGGUUAAGAGAGAAACUGAGAAAAACGAACGUAGUUUUAUAAAAAUAACUGUAACGACAUUGAUGUUUUCGGAGCAGUGAGGUGAUGGCAGCAGUGACAUACACACCCUAAGGCCCAUGCCGGCUAAGGACCGUGGUGAUAAAUGACGAAUGGUGACAGACAUCCUGAAAGCGUCCCUCAGCUGAGGCUGGCAGAACUGCAGCAGACAGGGGCCAAGAGAACAGGGUACCUAGACUUUUCCUUUCAGGAUGCACCUAAGCUUCAAGAGGAUUAGUCUCCAAGGGAUAGACCCCAGACUCUACAGGUUCGAGGCUUUUCUUCGUUUUUGACUGCUUUGUUUCUCCUGUGUGGUAAGACAGAAUUUGAUUGGGUAUUUUGAACGACUAGGCAGUAAUAUUGAAGUGGGGAAGGAGAAAGAAAGGUUGUUGCAGGAGAGAUGUGAUGGGGGUGGUUAGGUAGUUUAAGGACGUUGACAGCCCAUGAUUUUGUUUCUUGUUUAUUUCUUCCUCUAGGCUCUCGGGGUCCCUGCCACAGCAGAAUUCACUAGUCUGUGUCUGUGUCUAGCAAGAAGUUUGUGUCCCAGCCCUCCACUUGGAAACAGGUCAACUGUGCCUGGAAACACAGACUUAGAGCAAAUGGAAUGCAUCCUUUUUACUGAAACACAACAGAAACUGUGCUUCAUUCUGACUCCAGGGUGGGCAAGGCCAUUCAGGGGUGAGCCGAAACCUGAAUUAUUUAUACUCGGACAUAGCCUAACUUCCCCGAGGCAGUGACCAUAGGGUAAAGAGAGGCGACGUUUAGCUGUUUUGGAGUGCACUGGUAUCACCUUCUGGAGCAAUGUUUGCACUCACUCAAGAGGUGUUCGCUUUACUGUCUUUUUAACAACGAUUUUGAAAGUUUUGAUGACGGUGUGGGCAAGGCAGGGCUGACUUCUGAACCUCAGUAACUACACAUACUCAUAAAUAAAAAUAAGAGAAAAUCCAAUCCAAACAAGAAAACUCUGCAUCUCAAGUGGACUUCCAGUCACCUGAAGCUCCCUCCACCUCUGCGUCCUCUUGUUCAGCCGUUUGGUCACCUUCAUCGUCAUACACCGCCCUGUGGAACUCACGCUAAGACUGAAUAGAGCGUUGCGGAAGAAUCUUGAGCCUGGUAGACAUGAGUCUUAAAACCGAGAAGAAACGGAGAGGGAAUGGACGUGGGAGUCUGGGCCACUUAGUGCGUGCUUUCCAGCUGUGUGGAGAAGGAGAGCCUACGGAGAGGCGAUGGACCCCACACCCUCUCUUGGUUGCUCAAGUCAAGGAGCGUCUAUGGAAAGAUCUUUUCACCCAUUUACAGUUGUGGUCCCACUAUAAGACGGGAGGAGGAGGAGCCCUGGGUGGAGGGUUGGGACUUAGCCCCUGCCCUGGAGCCCCCUCAGCUAGCUCCUCCAGGGCCUCUGGGCGGAACCCACACGGAGGAAAACUGUCCCCUCUGUGCUGUCUUCUUUGGUUCCUCUCACAAAGGUAAUGUAUUCUGAAGCAUCAGAGCCAAAGUGAGCCCUGAAAGGUGAAAAAGAGAGCUUCCUUCUAUAGAGUCUGAGAGAGGACUCGGUUCAUGCAAAUGCCUCGGGCGUCCUGCCGUGAAGGCAUUGAGUGCCACAGGCCUCACAAAGGACAUUCUUCAAAUCCAGGGGUGGGGAGUGGGAAUAAAGGGAGCCUUACCAUUGUUCUGACCGUGGGAACAGGAGUACGCCAGGGACAUUGUCCCGGUCACUGCAAAGGGGCCUCCAGCCCCGCUCCUUGGAAUCACACAAGAAGUGGGCCAGUUGCUUGCGCAGCCUGCAAGGGGUCAUGGGAAGGUUGGAUAGCAGUGAGCGAAACUACAGGUUUGUAGGACACCGGCCUCCUUUGCAUGGUCUCAGCUCAGCAUGCUUCCGAGCCCGCAUGCAAAGAACUGUGGCUGGGCAUUGAAGGGAUCAUAGGAUUUAAUGAAGAUCUGUUAAUCUGUACACAUGGCAUUAUUAUUUUAAUUGUACAGAUUUACAGAGCACCGUGUUGCAACACCUGUAUACAGUAUGAAAGGCUCAGGCCAAUACAGUUAAGAUUUCCAUCUCGCACUUUACAAGUUUUUUUUCAUUAACAUGAUUUGUUCAUUUAUUACUCGUAUUUGUGGGGCACGGUGUGCGGUAUGUAUUGAUAAAAUCAGGAAAAUCCACACUUGCAUGUUUUUAGAAUUUCUUUUAUUUGGAAGCUCCUUUCUCCAGUUAUUUAUUAAAUGCAUAACAGAUAACUGUGCAGUCCAGCCUCACUCCCACUGUCAGAUGCCCUGGAACCGGAGUUACAGAUUGCUGUGAGCCAGUCCAUUUUUCUGGGAAGAGAACCUGUAUCCUUGGCAAGAGCUGCAAGUGCCUGUAAACACAGAGCCAACCCUCCAGCCCUUGCCUGCCCUGUUUAUGAUGCAGGGUCCUUUACCGGGACCCAGGGCUCCCCAUUAGAUUAGGCUGGCAAGCCCCAGGGAGCUGUGAGUCUCUGCCUCUGUAGAGACUCUGUAGCACUUGUGGGUGACAAAUGUAUAUGACCAUUCUUCACCUUUUUUUAUUUUUUAAAGCAGAUUCUGAGGACUGAACUCUCAGGGGCUGAGCUAUCUUCUCUGCCCGGGAGAAUUCCUUUCUAAUGGUCUAUGUGGAAUGUUAACUAUGGGCCAGGCAUCCUGGCAUGGAUGAGAGCCACUCAUGUUCUUCAGGGGACUGGCUUGCUUCCCUGGGGUAUCUGUGGACAGUCACCCGAGUCAGGAAACAGGGUUGCCCCUCCCAGGGAGUGGAAGAGGACAUGGGGGUCAUUUCCACAAGAAUGCACAGGACACAAAGGCUUUGACCUUUGCCACUUAAGUAGCUAAGCCAGGAAAAGAGCAGAGGAUUUUUUUUUUUUUAAACUGGUCUCCUUUGUUAGUAUUUACCGACUCCUUACUUCCUGGGCACCAUGGAAAUCCCCUGAUCGCAGGAAUGUUCGGUCAGAUGGGGAAGGCACAGGAGUUGCUUUUAUUGGUUAAAGUCAGAAAUUCAUAGUGCUGAGGAAUAGUAGCCGGCUGGUCAAAGAGUUUACACUUUGAGAGGAGAAAGAAAGCACGUUAGUUAGCCCACGCAUAGAGAGCGGGAGCCUGGAAAUGUGAGAAAUGUUUCUGGUUUUCUGUCAAAGGUAGUUAGCCUGGCAAGGACUCAUUUCCAGAACCUUGCCCUGUCCCUUUGCCUUGAUUAGCCAGCAGGGUCAGACAGCGCAGUCCAGCUCCCCCCUAUAGGAUGAGACACAGUCACCACCUACAUCCAGGGUAAAAGAAAGUCUUGGUCAAGUGUGCUUGCUAGCCAGGCUUGGGUCUUGGCUGCCCUUUUUGGAAAAAUGAUUGCUCCGUAGAGCUGCUUUCUCUUUGUUCCUGGGUUCCGCUGUGCGACAUUAUUCUUUAUUCUUGGAAGUGACAGGAGAACCACUUGCCUGUUGCAAUAAGCCGCAGGGGUGCUGCACUGUGGGACCGGUUUUCGGUAGUGUGAAUCCUGCCAAACUGUUGGCAAGGGCUGUCCUGGUUGGUUGAUGUUCUGGCCUGAUGCUAUGGUGCUUGCUGUUUCCCGGCAUGCAAUUCCCACCAUGCAAACGAAGGCAGCUGGAUGGUAAUAGACUGCCGCUGAUUCUGCUGUUCCGGUGGAGAACGUCGGAUCUUUCUGUUCUGAGGAUGCUUUGGGUACCUGCCUUGAAUGGGGACUUGUUCCCUUUAUGAUGUUUUGAGUUCUGGCCUUCCCUCCAAUCUGGUGUUUUUUUUUUUUUUCGGAGGCCCUGAUAGCGCUGAAAAUGUUCAUCUAUCAAAUCAUCCUUCUUAGCCUGCUAGUUGUGUGCAAGCCCUUGCAAAACAAACACUGCUGGUUUUGUUGUUGUUUACUGUUUCUGGCAAGGAGGAAAGCACCAACGAAUGCUACUUUGGCAAAACUUUAAAAAACUUUAUUAUCGAAAACAGUCCAUUCUACAGGAAGACCUAGUGCAGUGUUACAUAUAAAAUCCUGAACUUUCACGAAGCAGUUCUUGCAUUGCCUCAGAGGCAAGCACUAAUGCUCCCCCAUUUUGGUUGAACGGUGACAAUUUCCCCAAACGACAGUGAUAUGGAACUUGCUUCUCUAGAUUCCAGCCUUCCCUGCCCUGACCACCCCAUGUUAUGGUCACAGAGGAGAGAUGUUUAUUGAUCACCUGACAUCCUUUAACUGGGUACUCACUGGUUACCCCUAGCAACAGAGGGCUUUGGGCCAAACCAAACCAAACAAAACAAAAAACAGAGAACCCACUCCCACCCUCUCACAUGGGUGUAGUUGCUCCUCAGUGACCCCGUCAUGCUGCUGUCUGCCUAUCUGUAGCAUCAACCUGUCUCCCAAUAAACCCCUUAAAAAUAGAACAAUCCGUCUCAGUGUCGGCCUUAGAUCCCGAACUUGAAGACUCUCAGUUCUGCUAACGCUCAAUGAAGGGGUAAAACAGGAUGAGUCCCCGAGAGCCUUGAGCUCUGUUGCAGUAUAGGAUUCCACCCCCAGUACGUUCUGCUUCGGGAACCUUCCCUCCUCCAGGAGCCCCCAGCCCAGCUCUGGCUCAUGGGUUGACUAUGAGUAAGUGGAUCAUGUCUGCUUUGGGAGACGUGCUUUGUGAGGGUGAGUUUGCGGAGCUUUUCCUCAUAGAACUCCACCUGUGAGUCAAUAGUGCUUUUCCAGCCGGCAUUCUCUUACUUUACCACUGAUGUGCCUGAGAGUCUGUGGUGUCUGGUGUCGGCCGUGUGGUAUUCAGGGAUGUGGAGGAAGAAGAGGUGAAGUGACGAGACCACCUGUGUGGUUCAGUCUACUCUGCGAGGCUCUGUUCCAGAUGGCUUUCUGUGGUUGAGACAGAGGCCCAGGAGGAAAGAACUUACAGGGAAGAAAGGAGGGAGAGCUCUCUCUAGUUUGGUCCAUGACUUUGGAGGCUCAGGUUCAUGUCCUGAGAGUUACUGAGGCAGAAACAACAGGUGGUGUGUGGUUAAGGCAAAGCCACUUUGCUUGCCUUGUGGUGGCCCGGAAGCAAUCGGCUGCACCCUAGUUUCCCCUUCAAGGCCACACAACCCUCCAACUGGACUCCACUCACUGAAGUUGCUAGUACGUCCAUGCUGAAUCACCUGGGACCAGGCUCCCACAGAGGACUCUCUGGGUGCUACUGCAGAUCCCAGUUGCAGAGCACAGUUCUGGACCAGUGGAAAGGAGCUAUUGGGGAAAGCUAUGGCCGACUAAGUGUUUAUCAUUAGGCUAUAAUUAUUGCAGUGGUAUUAUUUAACCAGCUGUCCAUCAAAUAAAGACACAGGCACCUGUUGUAUUUUGUAAAAUAGCUUUUACCUGGGGCACUGUAGAUAUUAAUCCUCUAAACUAACUUCUCCUCCCAGGCCAAUCUCGAGCUUUCUUCCGUCCAUGGUCCCAAAAUACUAAUUAAUGUUCUCCGUCUCCUCCAUCCAUGCUGAUCCAGCCAUGUGUUCCUUUCCCACUAAUCCGUAUCACCGGUCCAUUUCCUUCUCCGAUCCUGUCUUUCUUCUCUACCUCUCCUCAUGGUUCCUCGAUCCCAGGCUGUGAACCCCAAACUCUACCUCCCUUUCUUCUGCCAAAUCCCAAAUUUCAGCAUUUUAAAAAAAUCAACCAAUCAGCGUUAAAUUAGAUGGAGCAAGGUUUACACAAAAAGGACAGGUGUAUGUGAGAAUGUGCUUGUCUGGGCAGGGACAAGAUCUUGAGGGCCAGUAAUUAACACUAAAAUACAUAGCACCAAGCCAACCCUCAACAGGAACCUUCAGGAUUAUUCUAUUUGAAGCCACUCUGCAUGCUGUGAAGUUUUACAGAGAUGAGAGCAGUAAUUGCCACUAGUAUGGUAUGAAAAGAAUCACUGCCCCCUGAUUAUAGAGGAUAGCAGACACCUCUCAGACACGAGUAACCACUCACAAAUCAGUGCUCUCUAUGUGACCACAAAACUCUGUGAUCUUGGGCUGGAAAGAUGGCUCAGAGAUUAAGAGCACUGGCUGCUCUUCUGAGAGGUCCUGAGUUCAAUUCCCACCAACCACAUGGUGGCUUACAACAGUCUAUAGGGAGAUCUGGU
Molecule: long non-coding RNA, 7084 nt
Organism: Meriones unguiculatus (Mongolian gerbil)
Lineage: Eukaryota; Metazoa; Chordata; Mammalia; Rodentia; Muridae
Exons: 4
Source: RefSeq, a predicted model, not a curated record